UAGUGCUUAUAGCUCUUUUUGAAUUUGUCUAGCAGGUCUUCUGGUUUUCACUGGAAGACUCCC
This is a small nuclear RNA of Pteropus vampyrus (large flying fox), 63 nucleotides long. Its record names the gene U7. It matches the Rfam family "U7 small nuclear RNA". Rfam says of the family: Animal histone pre-mRNAs are spliced by a different mechanism than nuclear pre-mRNAs and self-splicing introns. This processing involves the U7 snRNP, which contains only one RNA species: U7. The 5' end of U7 RNA is thought to base-pair to a conserved spacer element downstream of the cleavage site in histone pre-mRNA. NCBI's taxonomy places the organism in Eukaryota, Metazoa, Chordata, Mammalia, Chiroptera, Pteropodidae. The record is from Ensembl.